UACAGAGACUGGCAAGCGUUAUUCGGAUUCACUGGGCGUAAAGGGUGCGCAGGCGGCCAAGUGUGUGAGGCGUGAAAGCCUGGGCUUAACUCCAGAAUUGCACCUCAAACUACAUGGCUAGAGCAUUGGAGAGGGUAGCAGAAUUCACGGUGUAGCAGUGAAAUGCGUAGAUAUCGUGAGGAAUACCAGAGGCGAAGGCGGCUACCUGGACAAUUGCUGACGCUCAGGCACGAAAGCGUGGGGAGCAAAAGGG
RNAcentral lists this ribosomal RNA (253 nucleotides) under uncultured bacterium. Its description in RNAcentral is "partial 16S ribosomal RNA". It matches the Rfam family "Bacterial small subunit ribosomal RNA", at positions 524 to 776 of the family's 1533-position model. The record is from RNAcentral.